AAUAGGAGAAUGACAAAUUAGAUUUUUCAUCUUAAACUUUAGCUUUUUUUCUCCUAAAAAAAUUCAAAUCCAAUUGAAUAUGCUAAAAAUCAGGAGGAAAAAUCUUAUUUGUCAUUCUCUUAUU
Molecule: non-coding RNA, 124 nt
Organism: Gossypium raimondii (Peruvian cotton)
Lineage: Eukaryota; Viridiplantae; Streptophyta; Magnoliopsida; Malvales; Malvaceae
Source: Rfam